GUACUCGCUUCGGCGGUACAUAUACUACAAUUGGAACGAUACAGAGAAGAUGAGAAUGUCCCUAAUGUUAAUGACACUAUGAACGUAAGAACUCGAAAAGUAGAUU
Molecule: small nuclear RNA, 106 nt
Organism: Leptinotarsa decemlineata (Colorado potato beetle)
Lineage: Eukaryota; Metazoa; Arthropoda; Insecta; Coleoptera; Chrysomelidae
Source: RefSeq, a predicted model, not a curated record